AUCAAUAUACCAGUCAAAAGCUCAAACCUCAAAGCAGGCCAAGGCGCAGCAGGAGGUGUCAAGUCAUAGGGCAGCACACUCCAGCGCACCACUACCUCGCAAACCAGAGGAGCAACCCAAACCUCUUUUCAGAAAACCCGUACAGGAAGAAAGCACGGGAGAUACAGAAGGAGGAGGCGAGGUUCCAAACUGGCUGGUGGGCAUGGAUGCCCUGCACAGAUCGCUAAUGGUAAAACCAGCACCUUUGAAAUUCAGGCUACCCAGGUUGCAGAUUUAUGAUGGGAAGAUGGACCCAGCAGAUCACAUAAAUAUGUUUCUGGGGGCAAUGCAAUGGGCCACAUCAAGGGAUGACAUCCUAUGUAGAGCAUUCCCAGGAACACUGAAAGGGCCUACAUAUAGGUGGUUCGUUGAACUACAGCCAGGGAGCAUAACAAGUUUCGAAGACUUGAAAAAGAAAUUCGUCGCCCAACACUGUGGAAACACAAGAGUAAGAAAGGGCACAGAAUCACUGUUUGCGAUCAAACAGAAUGGAGAUACGCUCCGGAAUUAUACAACUAAAUUCACGGAAGCCAUGCAGAAAAUCUCCGAUCUGAACACAACAAUCGCAAUAUGCGCAUACUCAAAAGGGCUAGACAUGAACACGCCAUUGGCAAUAAAGCUAAACGUCAGUAAUGUAAAAUGCAUGGAGGACCUGUUAACAAAGGCCCAGAAAUACAUAAAUUCUGAAGAGUAUGAAAAAGAAAAAGAAAAAGAGAGAGGUGCCAUAAGCAAUAAAAAAGCAUAUGAAGCACCAAAAAAGAAAUUUCAGAAGUUUGAGAAAGGAGAACCAUCUUGGAGACCAAAACACGAUGGAAAGGUCUACCAGACAUCUGAGGAAUUUAGAAAGCCAAAAUACCCAAGGUAUGAAGACUUAGGGUUUACGGUUUUCAGCACUCCAAAGGAGGAAAUCUACAGCAAAGAAAAAGGAAGAAUAAGGUUUCCUCAACCAGAAGAAUUAAACCCUGCAACAAAAGAGGCCCGAACAAGGGGGAACAGAUACUGUAAGUUCCACAAGGACUACGGGCACAACACAGAAAAUUGCAGGGAACUAAGCACUUUCCUAGACAUACAGGCAAAGGAAGGAAAGCUUAAACAAUACGUAAACAAAGUAGAAAGGGAGCAACAAGGUCGCAGGGACCCAAAUAACAAGGGUAAGCGACAGCGCUCAAAAAGUCCCGACUCAGGUACUGACCACAAGAGGAGGGUAAUAGAUUAAAUCUUCGGCGGGGGAUCAAUAGAAGAAAGCAGGAAAUACUCGCAAAAGUUAAUAUACGAUCCAGCCCACACCUAAAUACGCAAGGCGGAACAAUUAAUCAUGUUCACCCUUGCGGCAUUCGCAUGGAAGGUAGAGCAGAUUUCAAAGGGUCAAAAACAACUCAGCUAAUACCCCCAAAGGGGGGGCAGAAAGAGGCACUAGUUGACUCAACAUCUAUACCUCCGUACAAUCCGACCAUAACACAGGCAGAAUACUGGAGAAAACCCUCGAUAGAAUACAUUGAAGGGUAGAAACUCCCAGAGAACAAGAAUAAAAGGCGUAAACACGCAUUCCAAGAUACUGCCUAAUCGGUAACAUUCAGCAUAAGAAACCCUACAUCAAGGGGUAUGCAAAAUACAUCAAGGGAGGAGGACUCUAGCCCAAAGAAUAACAGGGUAGAGGCACUUCUGGCCUACACUAAAGAAAGAGGCAAUCUUACCUGCAAGAAAAUGCAAGGCAUGCCAGAUUCACAAAAACAUACGACUAAUAGGGGUAGUAAGCCCCAUCCCCUUCGCAAUAUGGGGGUUAAACAUUGUGGGACCAUUUCCAGUAUCGACAGGCCAGGCCAAAUCAUAUUUAUGGCUGUCGACUACUUCACUAAAUGGGUCGAGGCACUAGCUGUACCCAAGAUAACUCAAGGAGCAGCAGCGAAGUUUGUCUUCAAGUGUAUAAUGUGCAGAUUCAGUAUUCCAAUGCAUAUAGUGACAGAUAACGGUACACAGUUUACCGGUGGGGAGUUUACGAGAUUGUGCGAGAACAUGAGCACUAGAAUCCAUUUUUCAUCGGUAUACAGACCACAGGGUAAUGGGCAGGUAGAAGUCACAAACAGAGCCAUCGUUCAGGGACUGAAGAAAAAAGUCGAACAGGCCAAAGGUUCGUGGACAGAUCUACUACCAGAGAUCCUGUGGGCGUAUAGAACCACUGAAAAGACACCCACCGGAGAAACCCCGUUCUCGCUAGCAUAGUGGAAUGGAAGCACUAAUCCCAACAGAGCUAAGCAUUCCAACAGUCAGAGUGUUAUCCUAUGACAUGGAAUCAUGUGCGAUAACUCUGGACUUAGUGGAUGAGCUUAGGGAUAAUGCACAGGCAAAGAAUGCAGCUUACAAACAAAGUAUCGCUAGAUAUCACGACAAGAAUGUCAAGGGUAAAGCGAUAAGUAAAAAAGCCUAGUAUGGAGAAGAGCAAGUGUCGGCAGAAAAGACUGCUCUAAAGGCAAACUAGGCGCAAAUUGGGAAGGACCAUAUGUGGUGGAGGAAGAACUCCGACCAGUUAAAGUGGGAAGAUAGAACAGGCAUUCCCAAUACUUGGCACGCAGAUAACCUACAGAUAACCUACAGUUGUACUUUUAAACAAUUAAGUAGGAUUAUACUACUCUUGUAAUAGUUUGAACUACUUAACUAAUAUGUUGUUUAGUCAACUAUUAUUAAUAAUCAGAACACUCAAAAAACAUUCCAUAUAUUAAUUGAACAUGAAUUACAGAGGAAUGUAAAUUAUAAGGAUAAGAUAGAGGAUUAAUCUAUUUAGGAGGGGGGGGUGUAUCUUUAGAACCCUCUGCAUCGUUGUUAUCUUGAUCUUCUAUGGAAAAAUUAUUAUCAACGGUAGCAGUCGUAUCAUCCCCCGGAGCCUCCUCUUCUUCAUUCUCUUCAUCCUCUUCUUCCGCAAGCGCCCGAUUUCGAACUUCGGUAGCUUCUUUGGGGUACUUGCAGGCCUAGUUGUGGACAUCCUCAGCUUCGAAACCAGGGCAGACAUGAGGACCCAGAUCGACCAAGUCAUUAUAAUCUCGCACAUUGGCAAGAUAAUCAACCUUGAGUUUUUCCAGAUGGUCGAUCAUACGUUGAAGCUCCUUAGUCAUAUGUCGAGCUUCCUCAGUCAGACGUUGGACCUCCUCAGUCUUUGCCCGGUCCGUUUCUUCCAGCCGCGUUAUUGAUUUCUUAUGAUCAUCCAGCGACCCCAAAAGCUUCUUGUUCUCAUCAUAACUUUCAUCCAGUCGUUGAGAAAAUAUGGAAUUCUGUGUCCGACAGGAUUGAAGGUUCGCCUCAGUAUUUUCGUGCUGGCGGGUGAUGUCGACAAUCAUCGACUCUUUAAUUGAAACCCUGGCACGUUGAGCUGCUAAUUCCAUCUCUGCAGCCCCCAACUCCCCGUUGACCUUGGAGAUUUCCUGCUCCUUAUCUCUCAAGAGAUUCCUUUGAGAAGCCCAAUCCUCAGCCAACUUCUUGUUGGUGGCAGACAAAGUAGAGGUGUCUGAUGCUUUUUGCGCAACCUCGCCUUCCAGAUCUUUGCAUCGGCGCUUCACUCUCUUCAACUCGUCUUCCAUAGACUGAUAGUCACGGAGACGAGACAGGGAAGAGAGGCGGCCUUGAAACAAAUAGGCGAGCUGCAAAAAGAAAGAAUGAGUAAGAACAUACUCAUAAAAAUAGUAAAACAGAAGUACUUACGUUACUCAGAUUCUGUCCUAUUUCUUCGACAGUCCGGUCCAUCGGAUACCCAGAUAUGGUCCGCAGUGUGGUUCGGGCGGCAUCCGAGUCAGCGACCAGAGGGAACUUGGUCCCGUAGUUCCGGGGGUGCGAACCUUGGUACCCCGGCAGCUGUGUCUCCCGGGUGGAAGCAUAGUUAUAUCGACCCCGGGAGGACUCCCCAGAAUAAAAUCUCCGGCGCGGAGAAGCUCGUCGCCUGGGGGAGUGUCUCUUUGAUUUCCUCGGAGGAGAAUUAAGUCGGUCCUAGGAGGUGGAGUUCGUUCUUUUCUUCUUCUUCUCUCAGACCCCUCAGGCUGGGUCUCCCUUCCCAACAGUUCUUUCUCGCUCCUCUUCUGGAGUACGGAAGAGAGAAGCGAGCCUGGAAGCAGCAGACUGCACAGGAGUAGUUUCUGUAGGUACCUCUGGAGGUACCUCCCCUUCCUCAGUUCGUUGGACUUCGUCAGUAGGAGUAGGGGAAUGCGCCAUUGUGUAGGCGUUCUCAAGGGCACGUUGCCUCAAAUGAUCGGCGUCAGAAGGCUUAGAGGCGGCUGCAUAAACCUUAGUGCCCGUUUCAUUUUGCCCAACGCAUUCAGGGACACCUCCGGGGUUAUGCAUAUAAAAAUCUGCGAGGAAUAAAAACAGAGUUAGAAAAUGCAUACAUAUAGAAAACAAAAAGAAAAAACAGGCAAAGGAAGACCUUGUCGGUUAAAAGUAUCAUCAAUCGCGUGACCGACAGGCACAGCGAUAGGAUGCAAAAAGGCCAGCCUUUGCACGGAAGCUCCCUCAUCCUCAGUCAGAUCAGGACGAGGAGUAGGCCUACGACCACUAGUCGAUGCAGGGAGAAGUCUGCUACCACGGAUGAACGUAGGUAGACAAGGAGUCACACUUAACCUCAGUCGCAAAAAGGCGAGCAAAAGGAGGGGGCAAGUAUUCAAACAGCAAUCCUCACCUACGGAUGAACGUAGGUAGACGAGGAGUCAUACUUAGC
This 4735-nucleotide long non-coding RNA is filed under the name Zostera marina. Its description in RNAcentral is "long non-coding RNA (ZMAR_LNC005731)". The record is from RNAcentral. Lineage: Eukaryota; Viridiplantae; Streptophyta; Magnoliopsida; Alismatales; Zosteraceae.